RNAcentral lists this ribosomal RNA (508 nucleotides) under uncultured bacterium. RNAcentral's name for it is "bacterial SSU rRNA". It matches the Rfam family "Bacterial small subunit ribosomal RNA", at positions 18 to 518 of the family's 1533-position model. The record is from RNAcentral.
CCUGGCUUAGGAUGAACGCUAGCGGCAGGCUUAACACAUGCAAGUCGAGGGGCAUCGGGAGUAGCAAUACUUGCCGGCGACCGGCGCAAGGGUGCGUAACGCGUGAGCAACAUGCCCGUAUCAGGGGGGAUAAUCCAUGGAAACGUGGUCUAAUACCCCAUAGUAAUUAUGUAAGGCAUCUUAUAUAAUUUAAAGCUUUGGUGGAUACGGAUUGGCUCGCGUGACAUUAGCUGGAUGGUAAGGUAACGGCUUACCAUGGCUACGAUGUCUAGGGGUUCUGAGAGGAAGGUCCCCCACACUGGAACUGAGACACGGUCCAGACUCCUACGGGAGGCAGCAGUGAGGAAUAUUGGACAAUGGAUGGAAAUCUGAUCCAGCCAUGCCGCGUGCAGGAAGAACCGGCCCUAUGGGUUGUAAACUGCUUUUGUAUGGGAGCAAUAAGGGCUACGUGUAGUCCGAUGAGAGUACCAUACGAAUAAGCACCGGCUAACUCCGUGCCAGCAGCAGC